RNAcentral lists this ribosomal RNA (484 nucleotides) under uncultured bacterium. RNAcentral describes it as "partial 16S ribosomal RNA". It matches the Rfam family "Bacterial small subunit ribosomal RNA", at positions 30 to 507 of the family's 1533-position model. The record is from RNAcentral.
AUUGAACGCUGGCGGCAGGCCUAACACAUGCAAGUCGAGCGGAUGAAGGGAGCUUGCUCCUGGAUUCAGCGGCGGACGGGUGAGUAAUGCCUAGGAAUCUGCCUGGUAGUGGGGGAUAACGUCCGGAAACGGGCGCUAAUACCGCAUACGUCCUGAGGGAGAAAGUGGGGGAUCUUCGGACCUCACGCUAUCAGAUGAGCCUAGGUCGGAUUAGCUAGUUGGUGGGGUAAAGGCCUACCAAGGCGACGAUCCGUAACUGGUCUGAGAGGAUGAUCAGUCACACUGGAACUGAGACACGGUCCAGACUCCUACGGGAGGCAGCAGUGGGGAAUAUUGGACAAUGGGCGAAAGCCUGAUCCAGCCAUGCCGAGUGUGUGAAGAAGGUCUUCGGAUUGUAAAGAACUUUAAGCUGGGAGGAAGGGCAGUAAGUUAAUACCUUGCUGUUUUGACGUUACCAACAGAAUAAGCACCGGCUAACUUCGUG